Long non-coding RNA from Populus euphratica (Euphrates poplar), 802 nucleotides. RefSeq lists it as uncharacterized. The transcript is spliced from 2 exons. The record is from RefSeq and is a predicted model, not a curated record. Lineage: Eukaryota; Viridiplantae; Streptophyta; Magnoliopsida; Malpighiales; Salicaceae.
CAGCCAUAGAUAUAGGACUGUAAACUAUUGACAGAAUCAAGAUGUUUUUUAUGCUAAAGAAGAAGUUGUUUUCUUCUUGAAUGAUAAAUAACAUAGUGUGUGAUGAACAUUUUAAGCAAUUCUCAUUUUAGCCAAUAUUUCUCCAAAUUAUCAGUAUAGGCUAACGUGCCAAUUGAAUCAUAUCUGAACUUGGUCGGAGAGAUUGAAGCUUCUGUUAUAUCAUUUCACAACUUUGUGGCUGCAAUAAUUCCUGAAGAUAUGGUUGCAAUGGUCACAAUUUAAAGAUCCCAACAAAUUCAAUCAACAGUAAAGAGAACUCUGUAACCUCAAUGUCACAUACGAUCCUCCCAUCACCUAACCAUUCAAGAGUUUAUCAUUGAGAGAGGAUUACGACAGAAGAGUAAAAGUGCUGAUAUCAUUUUCUGAAGUCACAUAUGAUCUAGGUGCAUGAUUUUUUGCAAAGACGAGGGGAAUCAAUAUCCUUGAUGAAAGUUACGUGAGGCAACAAGUCAGCAAAAGUCUAUAGAGUUUGGGGCCCAAUUUGCUAAUCAUAAUAAUAAACACGAACCUUGACCCAAGAUCUGGGGCCCAUAUGGAAGACUUAAUUUAUAUCUAUUCUUGGAAGGGGGAAAAAAAGGAGGUGGAUAAACACCAUGUACUUUUAGUGCUGUAGAUUUGCAAGAAAAAACCCCCUAAAUCUCCUAAUGUUGAUAUGAAUAACUUAUUUUUAUACCAAAAAAAGAGAUGAAUUUAACACUUUUAUUAUUGGAAAUUAAGCUCAUAAGGAUCAAAAUACUGUAGG